CAGCAGUGAGGAAUAUUGGACAAUGGGCGCAAGCCUGAUCCAGCCAUGCCGCGUGCAGGAUGACGGUCCUAUGGAUUGUAAACUGCUUUUGUACGAGAAGAAACACUGCUUCGUGAAGCAGCUUGACGGUAUCGUAAGAAUAAGGAUCGGCUAACUCCGUGCCAGCAGCCGCGGUAAUACGGAGGAUCCAAGCGUUAUCCGGAAUCAUUGGGUUUAAAGGGUCCGUAGGCGGUUUAGUAAGUCAGUGGUGAAAGCCCAUCGCUCAACGGUGGAACGGCCAUUGAUACUGCUGAACUUGAAUUAUUAGGAAGUAACUAGAAUAUGUAGUGUAGCGGUGAAAUGCUUAGAGAUUACAUGGAAUACCAAUUGCGAAGGCAGGUUACUACUAAUUGAUUGACGCUGAUGGACGAAAGCGUGGGGAGCGAACAGGAUUAGA
RNAcentral lists this ribosomal RNA (436 nucleotides) under uncultured Flavobacterium sp. RNAcentral's name for it is "bacterial SSU rRNA". It matches the Rfam family "Bacterial small subunit ribosomal RNA", at positions 349 to 782 of the family's 1533-position model. The record is from RNAcentral. Lineage: Bacteria; Pseudomonadati; Bacteroidota; Flavobacteriia; Flavobacteriales; Flavobacteriaceae.